RNAcentral lists this ribosomal RNA (783 nucleotides) under Xanthoparmelia hypomelaena. RNAcentral's name for it is "SSU rRNA". It matches the Rfam family "Bacterial small subunit ribosomal RNA", at positions 370 to 1164 of the family's 1533-position model. Lineage: Eukaryota; Fungi; Ascomycota; Lecanoromycetes; Lecanorales; Parmeliaceae. The record is from RNAcentral.
GUAUAGCAAUAGCUAGUUGCAUCAUAGUAGAUAUGAUGCAAGAUCGACUAUGUUGAAUAAAAUUCUAGGUAGAAUUAUGAUAAUGACAUUGUCUGCCUAUGUGUCUUGACCAAAUUACGUGCCAGCAGUCGCGGUAAUACGUAGAAGACUAGUGUUAUUCAUGUUUAAUCGGUUUAAAGGGUACCUAGACGGUAGAUCAAGCUUUCUAAUAAAGGAAAAGGACUAGUUUACUAGAGUUACUUAUGAGGGGGUAUUAAAGUACUGCUGGUGUAGAGAUGAAAUUCUGUCAUACCUCUUUUCAAAAGAAAAACCAUGGCACAGGUAUAGGCGAAGGCAUCCCCUUAUGUGAUAACUGACGUUGAGGGACGAAGGCUUUGUGUAGCGAACAGGAUUAGAUACCCCAGUAGUCGAAGCAGAAAAUGAUGAAUGUCAUAGAUUAGAUAUAUAAGUUUAUUCUAUAAAUGAAAGUGUAAGCAUUCCACCUCAUGAGUAAUUUGGCAACAUUGGAACUGAAAUCAUUAGACCGUUUCUGAAACCAGUAGUGAAGUAUGUUGUUUAAUUUGAUGUCCCGCAAAAAACCUUACCACAAUUUGAAUAUUUAUAUUGUUUAUUGUUUUAUUAUUAAUUUUCUUGAAGAAAAUUAAGAAAAAAGCAAUAAGAUAUAAUUACAAGCGUUGCACGGCUGUCUUCAGUUAAUGUCGCGAGACUUUGGUUAGUUCCAUUAAAUUAACGUAAACCCUUACUUUAUUUUUAUAUAGAGUAGUUCCCCGCUAUAUUGGAUAU